UGCCAGUAGUCAUAUGCUUGUCUUAAAGAUUAAGCCAUGCAUGUCUCAGUGCAAGCUAAAUUAAAGUGAAACCGCGGAAGGCUCAUUAUAUCAGCUAUGGUUCCUUAGAUGGUACCAAAGUAUACUUGGAUAACUGUGGCAAUUCUAGAGCUAAUACAUGCAAAUAGAGUCCCUGCCUCCCAAGGCAGGGAUGCUUUUAUUAGAUCAAAACCAACCGGCCUUCGGGCUAGUUGCUCUUGGUGACUCUGACUAACUUUGGGCUGAUCGCACGGUCACGUACCGGCGACGCAUCUUUCAAAUGUCUGCCUUAUCAACUAUCGAUGGUAGGCUCUACGCCUACCAUGGUUGUAACGGGUGACGGGGAAUCAGGGUUCGAUUCCGGAGAGGGAGCCUGAGAGACAGCUACCACAUCCAAGGAAGGCAGCAGGCGCGCAAAUUACCCACUCCCGGCACGGGGAGGUAGUGACGAUAAAUAACGAUGCAGAACUCUUUCCGAGGCUCUGCAAUCGGAAUGAGCACACUCUAAAUCAUUUAACGAGUAUCCAUCGGAGGGCAAGCCUGGUGCCAGCAGCUGCGGUAAUUCCAGCUCCGAUAGCGUAUAUUAAAGUUGUUGCGGUUAAAAAGCUCGUAGUUGGAUCUGUGUUUCACUCUGUCGGUUCGUUGCCCGUCAACGUUUAACUGGCAUGCAAGUGGAACGUCCUGCCGGUUGGCAACGCGCGUCCGCAAGGGCGUGCGUGCGCCAGUUGGAUCCUGUCUAGGUCCUCUUCACCGAGAGUCGAGGCAGGCCGGCACGUUUACUUUGAACAAAUUUGAGUGCUUAAAGCAGGCUGUUACGCCUGAAGACUGGUUGCAUGGAAUAAUGGAAUAGGACCUCGGUUCUACUUUGUUGGUUUUCGGAGCCCGAGGUAAUGAUUAAUAGGGACAGGCGGGGGCAUUAGUAUUGCGACGUUAGAGGUGAAAUUCUAAGAUCGUCGCAGGACUAACCUAAGCGAAAGCAUUUGCCAAGGAUGCUUCCUUUAAUCAAGAACGAAAGUUAGAUGAUCGAAGGCGAUCAGAUACCGCCCUAGUUCUAACCAUAAACGAUGCCAGCCAGCAAUCCGUCGCUGUUCCUCCGAUGACUCGACGGGCAGCUUCCGGGAAACUUAAGCUUUUAGGUUCCGGGGGAAGUAUGGUUGCAAAGCUGAAACUUAAAGGAAUUGACGGAAGGGCACCACCAGGAGUGGAGCCUGCGGCUUAAUUUGACUCAACACGGG
This 1253-nucleotide ribosomal RNA is filed under the name Arthropoda environmental sample. Its description in RNAcentral is "SSU rRNA". It matches the Rfam family "Eukaryotic small subunit ribosomal RNA", at positions 15 to 1209 of the family's 1831-position model. The record is from RNAcentral. Lineage: Eukaryota; Metazoa; Arthropoda.